AACGAACGCUGGCGGCAUGCCUAACACAUGCAAGUCGAACGAACCCUUCGGGGUUAGUGGCGCACGGGUGCGUAACGCGUGGGAAUCUGCCCUUGGCUUCGGAAUAACAGUUAGAAAUGACUGCUAAUACCGGAUGAUGUCGCAAGACCAAAGAUUUAUCGGCCAGGGAUGAGCCCGCGUAGGAUUAGGUAGUUGGUGGGGUAAAGGCCUACCAAGCCGACGAUCCUUAGCUGGUCUGAGAGGAUGAUCAGCCACACUGGGACUGAGACACGGCCCAGACUCCUACGGGAGGCAGCAGUGGGGAAUAUUGGACAAUGGACGCAAGCCUGAUCCAGCAAUGCCGCGUGAGUGAUGAAGGCCUUAGGGUUGUAAAGCUCUUUUACCCGGGAUGAUAAUGACAGUACCGGGAGAAUAAGCUCCGGCUAACUCCGUGCCAGCCGCCGCGGUAA
This 449-nucleotide ribosomal RNA is filed under the name uncultured bacterium. Its description in RNAcentral is "partial 16S ribosomal RNA". It matches the Rfam family "Bacterial small subunit ribosomal RNA", at positions 29 to 523 of the family's 1533-position model. The record is from RNAcentral.